AAAAGACACGCUCCGUUUUGUCUCUGUUGGUUUUAGAUAUUAAGGAUCCAUUGGAGAGGAACCUCUGGCUUUUGUGCUCGUAGGAUGCCGAGGGCGGUGUACAUUCUGCGUAGCGCGGUGGUGCCCCGGCUUAACCACAGCUCUUAGUCACCUUAUAUAACAUUAGCAAUUUCUUAAUCUUUUUUUUUUUUUUUUUCUCCUUUUACCCUCGCAGGCAGAUCGGUUGAAGUGAGUUUAUCCCAAGUCUGAAACAGAAUGUUUUCCAAGGUGGUCAGCUUGGCCCGGGCAGGCUCACGGAGGUUUCCCAUGGGAAGAUCCGGUAGAGCUGAUGCGAUGACAUCCGCCUGAGAUGAGGAUGCUGUCUGGAUCAGAAACGCGGCUGUACACCGGGGUGUGGUAGAAGAUGGGGACCCCCUUCUGUACGGAGGAACCCCACUUUGGGAAAAGCUCCUAAGAAAAAGAAAAGAUAGGCCUUCCUAAAGCAGUGCUUUAUAUGUUUCAUUAUAGGAACACUGGAAGAAUAAUUAAAAAAAAAAACCCUAAGCGCUAAGAAAUGUGUGCUUUAAAAACAUUUACAGCUAAAUUAGUGCCAAGGAUGUUGGUUUACACCCCAGCGAAAUAUUGAUGACCAAGGUAUAAAAGCCAGGGAAAAGGUUGCACGGAGAACACGUCUGGGAUUGUAGGAAGCGCUGCCGCUUCCCGUGCCCUUUUCCCUUGGGCUGGAAAACGGGUAUUGUAGCUGAUUUUUUAUACCGUGCCCUUGCGCCGCUCCGUUUCCCAGCCGGCCCCGUGCAGCUGAGCUCGCGCUAGGCUGGCGUUGCUCAGGAUUUUGCCAUUUUUAGCUGCGAGGGCCGAAGUCUGAGGGAGGCUGUAACCCUCAGUUAGGGAUCUGUUGGUGUAACUUUCCUUGUGAUUGUUUGGGGUGAGGGAAAUAUGCUGCUGUACGUGGUCCUUCCUGCCAAACUUGCAGCUAGAGCGAAGCCUUAUAGCCAAGCAAUAAAUCCCCAAAAUGAAAGGUUUACGAUGGAAAUGCUGACAAACCCUUAACUAACACAUUACAAAUGGCGGCGUUAAAAUUCAGUAGCUAUAAGCUAAAUUAGCAGCGGCGCGGGCAGCCUUCGAGGAUUGCCGUAGCGAGCCGGCCGCAGUCCGGAGGCCUUGUCUCGUUAAGGAUAUGCAGUAAGACUAUGGCUUUUAAUUUGCUUUUAAUGUUUCUGACAACCUUUUGUUGCUCUAACUUGCACGCAGGUGCAAAACGACGGCUGCUCCUUUGGUUUUUCAUGAAGUUUUUCGAUGAUCAUUGGAAGAACAUCCGUCGGGUGAGAACAAGAGCCCGGAAGUGCUAGUAUAAAGAUUGGGUGGGAUUUGACCAUUUUCUGCAUGUGAGGUAUCUGAAGAAGCCUGGACCCACCGCUGCUGGGCCGCACCGCCCUCGGGGGACACCUGGUAGAAGCAGCUUCCUCCCCAAAACCUCGUCCCCAAAAAUGUCCUUCCCAAAAACGUCCUCCCCAAAUCCUCGCCGUGCCGGCCCACGGGAUUUCUGCUGCUCAGGGGCUGCAGCAAAGGGUGCCUGUGCCUAACGAGGGCCCUGGGACCAGGGCUGGGAUUGAAUCCGGGAUAUUUCCAAUUAUCGCUGUAGGCAAAGGUGUGAAUGCAAAGGCUUCUGCGUGGCCGUGAUACCUACUCGUGUAACCUGUGCUUUUCCACUUCAUAAGGUGCUUCGAGACCCUUUUCUGCUUUCCAGGUGAGGACGCAGCCUCCUCAGCUCCGUUUUCCAAGUAAAAAUGUUGAGUCCCUACUGUCGUUACAGAGCUGCGCUUCAGCACAGGCGUGCGUGACGCUCGUGCGGCUCCUCAGGUGCAAAAAAAAAACCAACUCGGGCAAGAAAUUUCAAAUACUUCUCCGUCAAACUGCUGUGCUCCUCUGCAAGAAGCCGAGCAGUCGGUCCUUGCUGGAGCACAAGGAGCUCGCGCAGUUUUUUCCUGAGCAGGCACGCAGCAUCUCUGCUGCAGGACUCCAGAUGCUCAGCGACAUUCCUGGGUUUCAUUUUCGGCUCAGCCUUUCCCAGCAACUUGCAGGAGGCAUUCGGAAAAACGAGGAUGUCAGAUCGCGCUCGCGGUAAUGGGAACGGGAUAAUUAAGAUCUCGGUGGUUUUGAUCCUGUUCUGGUUGUCAGCAAAAGGCUGUCACGGACUAAGGCGAAGGGCCUGUCUGGAGGGUGAUGGGAAUAUUUGCUGGAAUGGGAAUAACUUUGGUGGGAAACAUCACGCACCGUCGAGGCAGCGAGGAGGAGCCAGCACCACUGGAUGUAUGGAGUCGCUCCCACCCAUCCGUAAAUCUCCAGGUCCCCAGGGCCGUGCUUCCAACCCUUUUCCUUUGCUCC
Molecule: long non-coding RNA, 2382 nt
Organism: Harpia harpyja (harpy eagle)
Lineage: Eukaryota; Metazoa; Chordata; Aves; Accipitriformes; Accipitridae
Exons: 3
Source: RefSeq, a predicted model, not a curated record